AGUGAACGCUGGCGGUAGGCCUAACACAUGCAAGUCGAACGGCAGCACAGGAGAGCUUGCUCUCUGGGUGGCGAGUGGCGGACGGGUGAGGAAUACAUCGGAAUCUACUUUUUCGUGGGGGAUAACGUAGGGAAACUUACGCUAAUACCGCAUACGACCUACGGGUGAAAGCAGGGGACCUUCGGGCCUUGCGCGAUUGAAUGAGCCGAUGUCGGAUUAGCUAGUUGGCGGGGUAAAGGCCCACCAAGGCGACGAUCCGUAGCUGGUCUGGGAGAAUGAUCGGCGACACUGGAACUGAGACACGGGCCAGACUCCUACGGGAGGCAGCAGUGGGGAAUAUUGGACAAUGGGCGGAAGCCUGAUCCAGCCAUACCGCGUGGGUGAAGAAGGCCUUCGGGUUGUAAAGCCCUUUUGUUGGGAAAGAAAUCCAGCUGGCUAAUACCCGGUUGGGAUGACGGUACCCAAAGAAUAAGCACCGGCUAACUUCGUGCCAGCAGCCGCCGUAA
This 506-nucleotide ribosomal RNA is filed under the name uncultured bacterium. RNAcentral's name for it is "partial 16S ribosomal RNA". It matches the Rfam family "Bacterial small subunit ribosomal RNA", at positions 29 to 523 of the family's 1533-position model. The record is from RNAcentral.